Molecule: long non-coding RNA, 278 nt
Filed under: Homo sapiens (human)
Lineage: Eukaryota; Metazoa; Chordata; Mammalia; Primates; Hominidae
Description: HSALNT0215870
Source: RNAcentral
CCUCGCUCCUGUCCUCCGGAGCGGGCUGUGCGGAGGCAGCCGGGAGAACAGUCGGCUCCGAGGACAAGAGUGAUGGGAGCGCCCCGGCCCCGCGGAAUCCAUCAUUCCGGAGGGAACCUUCGGCAGGCUUCAUUAGGCUCGAAACGAUCAUGAAUAUCCUCCCCUCACCUGUUCUCAUUAAUAAUGGCUCCCCUCUUAUCUUUUUUUUGCCACACGUAUCAUUCUUUUAAGAAACAUACACAACCCAGGGAGAAAGCCCGGCGCCUGCCCGGGAGCCC